This 483-nucleotide ribosomal RNA is filed under the name uncultured bacterium. RNAcentral's name for it is "partial 16S ribosomal RNA". It matches the Rfam family "Bacterial small subunit ribosomal RNA", at positions 30 to 506 of the family's 1533-position model. The record is from RNAcentral.
AUUGAACGCUGGCGGCAGGCCUAACACGUGCAAGUCGAGCGGAUGAAGGGAGCUUGCUCCUGGAUUCAGCGGCGGACGGGUGAGUAAUGCCUAGGAAUCUGCCUGGUAGUGGGGGAUAACGUCCGGAAACGGGCGCUAAUACCGCAUACGUCCUGAGGGAGAAAGUGGGGGAUCUUCGGACCUCACGCUAUCAGAUGAGCCUAGGUCGGAUUAGCUAGUUGGUGGGGUAAAGGCCUACCAAGGCGACGAUCCGUAACUGGUCUGAGAGGAUGAUCAGUCACACUGGAACUGAGACACGGUCCAGACUCCUACGGGAGGCAGCAGUGGGGAAUAUUGGACAAUGGGCGAAAGCCUGAUCCAGCCAUGCCGCGUGGGUGAAGAAGGUCUUCGGAUUGUAAAGCACUUUAAGUUGGGAGGAAGGGCAGUAAGUUAAUACCUUGCUGUUUUGACGUUACCAACAGAAUAAGCACCGGCUAACUUCGU